UCUAUUUUGUCAAACGCGUUUUCUGCACCUAGGGAGAUGAUCAUAUGGUUUUUAUCUUUCAUUCUAACGAUGCGGUGCUUCGUUUAUAGACGUGCACGUGUUGAAAGAUCCUUGUUUUCCGGCUGCAGGUUCCUCCUGCCCGUGCCUGGAGAUGAGAGCUGCCUGCCCCGUAGACCGUGACAAAGAACAGGGCAGACAGAGACAGUCCGAGGCUCAGGCUGAGGCGCUCUUUGGUGACACUGCUCGUUGAAAUGCUUCCACCAGCCACAGGCCGCUCUAGACACUGGCCACCUUCUUGCUGUGACACCUGCCUCCAGGACAAGGCAGCUGUGCCUUUACUUUCCUCACUUGUCCUGAGGACCUAUUUGGAGACGCUCAGGACCCUUGUCAGGACUUCGGGGAAGCAAGCAGCAGCGUAAUAAACUGGAAAAACACUUUGGGGAAGGAUGAUACAAGUGAGAGCCAACCACAAGGAGCUCUGAGAAUUGUGGGUUCGGAACCUCAGGGAAUGAGGCCUCUGAUGACACGGGAGUACAGAAUGGGCAGUGGGGCCGACCUAGCCAGCUGUCCCAGCGCUCUUCUCCACAGAUCUGAAUCAAGGCCGAGAAGCCACAAAGUCCUACUCUGCAGGGAAAGCUGGCCAAGACAGGAGGUGAUGGACAUGUGGAGCUGGCCAGGGUCAUCGGCAGUCAAGCGGCUACAAGCUCCUCCGGAAUUGACCUUGUCCCUGGUCGCCUGCCACCACCCUCUCCCUGGACCGUUCUAGAACUAACACAGUCAGGAUGCUGCCGUUCACAUGGAGCUCCUCCCGAACUGGCUCCUGGAGCUCCUCGUUUGGAGUCAGGAACCUGUGGGCAAUCUCCGCAUCCAUGGCCGAGGGGAAAGGUAUAGUGAGGGUGCUGGUGGAGACUGGGUUAAGGCACCAUCCACAGUACUAAUUUUGCCUGUGCCUCAGGCCUCCUCUUCAGUGAGGCCUGCCUUCCCCACCCCAGGCUGACCCUCAGGCUGUCCACAACCUCCCACCCUAUACAGCCAGGCCACCCCGGAUAGCAUUGUCCCUACCGCUUCAGUCCCAUCAGGCGGUCCACCCCACUCCCCAUCCUCUGUCAGCACGGGCCAAACCCUAGCCAAUACCCUCCAGGUGCCCGGAGCUCCCUCCUGCUCCCCUUUCAACUCCACUUCCCCAAGUCUCCCCCCACACCCCACCCCGCCGUGCGCCAAACCACCUCCAGCCCAUCCCCCUGCCGUCCAGCCCGCUGGGACUCCUUGAAUAGGAUACAACUGAAGCAGUCGGUUACCAGGACCUCUAGCGCCAGGUGCGGCAUCUCCACCAGGACCUGGUGUGUAGGGUGCCCGCUCCAUUUGGAGAGCGCCACCAGAGGCGGCACCUACCUCUCCCACAAUGCUGGUUCUUUCCGGAUCGCUCAGGCCUCCGGGGUUGCUGGGAUGGCCAGGGUCACAGGCACCACCCGAACCACCAGGGACUCUGGGGCCGCUGACACCGCGAGGUCCACCUGGCACACACUGGCCACCACCUGCUGCGCCCACCACCACGCCCACGGCACCCGUGCCUUCGUCUGCUGCCCUCACGGGGCCUCCACCAGCCACCUGAGACCCAACUUUGAAUCCUCCCACCCUCUCAAGGCAUCACUGAAGGACAAAGCGCUCUCUCACAAUGCUUCACCCCUUUACUCCACAAUGCAAUUCCGCAUGCCCAGAGCAACUGUCCACACGGACCGCUGGUAAUGCCUCCUGACCUGUGAUUGGUUCCCACCAAGCAGUCCCUUCUGUAGCCAAUCAGUUCUCACCUAUGAAGCUCCACCCCUUAGAGUGCCACGACACCCUAGGGCGUCUGCCCAAAUGGGCACCCGCGUGGAUGCGUCUGCCUGAACCAGCCGUGCCACGAGCCUUCGACGGCCCGCCAGCUGCGAUAUCCAGGAAGCCUCUGCCUGACACUACUCCCCACACGGUGGUGCGGCUCAUGGUCCCCACUGUCCAUGCCCAAACAGACUGCCAUGGCCCAACUCCUAAAGCCUCUGAGCACGUGACUGAGCUGCGGAGAACGCCGUGACUCUGUAGUUACGAAUCUGUACCUGAGCGUCUCUAAAUAGGUCCUCAGGACAAGUGAGGAAAGUAAAGGCACAGCUGCCUUGUCCUGGAGGCAGGUGUCACAGCAAGAAGGUGGCCAGUGUCUAGAGCGGCCUGUGGCUAGUGGAAGCAUUUCAACGAGCAGUGUCACCAAAGAGCGCCUCAGCCUGAGCCUCGGACUGUCUCUGUCUGCCCUGUUCUUUGUCACGGUCUACGGGGCAGGCAGCUCUCAUCUCCAGGCACGGGCAGGAGGAACCUGCAGCCGGAAAACAAGGAUCUUUCAACACGUGCACGUCU
Molecule: long non-coding RNA, 2385 nt
Organism: Acinonyx jubatus (cheetah)
Lineage: Eukaryota; Metazoa; Chordata; Mammalia; Carnivora; Felidae
Exons: 4
Source: RefSeq, a predicted model, not a curated record